AUUCCAGAGGGGCUCAUCGAGCUCAAACAAGAGGAGUUCCGUGCUCUCAAGCAAGGUGUUGACGGUCCUUAAGUAUCAAAUUUAACUAUCAAAUAAACAAAGAAAAGGAUCCAAAUGAAAUCAACAUCGAGACUUAGGGUUUUAUCUGACAGAAUUCCAUGAGUUUUGGUGUUUGUCUAUUUCUGCAGGGGGUUAUCAGGA
RNAcentral lists this long non-coding RNA (201 nucleotides) under Sorghum bicolor (sorghum). RNAcentral describes it as "long non-coding RNA (SBIC_LNC010204)". Lineage: Eukaryota; Viridiplantae; Streptophyta; Magnoliopsida; Poales; Poaceae. The record is from RNAcentral.